RNAcentral lists this ribosomal RNA (459 nucleotides) under uncultured bacterium. Its description in RNAcentral is "partial 16S ribosomal RNA". It matches the Rfam family "Bacterial small subunit ribosomal RNA", at positions 338 to 795 of the family's 1533-position model. The record is from RNAcentral.
CCUACGGGUGACAGCAGUGAGGAAUAUUGGUCAAUGGGCGGAAGCCUGAACCAGCCAAGUAGCGUGCAGGAUGACGGCCCUACGGGUUGUAAACUGCUUUUAUACGGGACUAACGCGCCUUACGUGUAGGGCUUUGCAUGUACCUUAUGCAUAAGGACCGGCUAAUUCCGUGCCAGCAGCCGCGGUAAUCCGGAAGGUCCGGGCGUUAUCCGGCUUUAUUGGGUUAAAGGGGUGCGUAGGCGGACGGUCAAGUCAGAGGUAAACAUGCGGUGAUCAACGCCGUACAGCAGUUGAAACUGGCAGGCUUGAGUGGGCGAGAAGUAUGCGGAAUGCGUGGUGUAGCGGUGAAAGGCAUAGAUAUCACGAAGAACUCCGAUUGCGAAGGCAGCAUACCGGAGCCCGACUGACGCUGAGGCACGAAAGCGUGGGUAUCAAACAGGAUUAGAGACCCCUGUAGUC